CUGGCUCAGAACGAACGCUGGUGGCGUGUCUAUACAUGCAAGUCGAGCGAGGCAGCAAUGCCGAGCGGCGAACGGGUGAGUAACGCGUAAGCAAUCUGCCCCAUAUCAGGAAAUACCCGUGCCAACGCGCGGUUAAUGUCCAGGAGAGUGGCCCUCUGCAUGGAGGGUUGACUAGAGAUUUAUCGGUAUGGGAUGAGCUUGCGUCCGAUUAGCUAGUUGGCGGGGCAACGGCCCACCAAGGCGACGAUCGGUAGCCGGCCUGAGAGGGUGAUCGGCCACAUUGGGACUGAGAUACGGCCCAGACUCCUACGGGAGGCAGCAGUAGGGAAUAUUGCACAAUGGGGGAAACCCUGAUGCAGCAACGCCACGUGUGGGAAGAAGCAUUUCGGUGUGUAAACCACUGUCAUGAGGGAAUAAGGCCCUUAUCCGUAAGGGAUUGAAUGUACCUUGAGAGGAAGCACCGGCAAACUUCGUGCCAGCCGCCGC
RNAcentral lists this ribosomal RNA (486 nucleotides) under uncultured bacterium. Its description in RNAcentral is "bacterial SSU rRNA". It matches the Rfam family "Bacterial small subunit ribosomal RNA", at positions 19 to 518 of the family's 1533-position model. The record is from RNAcentral.